This 254-nucleotide ribosomal RNA is filed under the name uncultured bacterium. RNAcentral's name for it is "partial 16S ribosomal RNA". It matches the Rfam family "Bacterial small subunit ribosomal RNA", at positions 524 to 776 of the family's 1533-position model. The record is from RNAcentral.
UACGAAGGGGGCUAGCGUUGUUCGGAAUUACUGGGCGUAAAGCGCGCGCAGGCGGUCUUCCAAGUCAGUGGUGAAAGCCCGGAGCUCAACUCCGGAAUUGCCAUUGAAACUGUUAGACUUGAGGAUGAGAGAGGUGAGUGGAAUUCCCAGUGUAGAGGUGAAAUUCGUAGAUAUUGGGAAGAACACCGGUGGCGAAGGCGGCUCACUGGCUCAUUUACUGACGCUCAGGCGCGAUAGCGUGGGGAUCAAACAGG